GACGAACGCUGGCGGCGUGCUUAACACAUGCAAGUCGAACGGUGAAGCGCCUUCCUUUUUGGUGGGUGUGGAUGAGUGGCGAACGGGUGAGUAACACGUGAGUAACCUGCCCCCUUCUUCUGGAUAACCGCAUGAAAGUGUGGCUAAUACGGGAUAUUCUGGGUCUGUCGCAUGAUGGGUCUGGGAAAGAUAUUGUUUCGGUGGGGGAUGGGCUCGCGGCCUAUCAGCUUGUUGGUGGGGUGAUGGCCUACCAAGGCGGUGACGGGUAGCCGGCCUGGGAGGGUGGACGGUCACACUGGGACUGAGACACGGCCCAGACUCCUACGGGAGGCAGCAGUGGGGAAUAUUGCACAAUGGGCGCAAGCCUGAUGCAGCGACGCCGCGUGAGGGAUGGAGGCCUUCGGGUUGUGAACCUCUUUCGCCAGUGAAGCAGGCCUGCCUCGUUUGUGGGUGGGUUGACAGUAGCUGGAUAAGAAGCGCCGGCUAACUACGUG
Molecule: ribosomal RNA, 494 nt
Filed under: uncultured bacterium
Lineage: Bacteria
Description: partial 16S ribosomal RNA
Rfam family: Bacterial small subunit ribosomal RNA
Source: RNAcentral